Long non-coding RNA from Zonotrichia leucophrys gambelii, 1312 nucleotides. RefSeq lists it as uncharacterized. The record is from RefSeq and is a predicted model, not a curated record. Lineage: Eukaryota; Metazoa; Chordata; Aves; Passeriformes; Passerellidae. The transcript is spliced from 3 exons.
UUACUGUUGCAAAGUCUUGAACCAAAAUAACAAAACAAAGAUGAAAGAAACAGCACAGCUGGCCAGCACAAGCUUUACUCACAUGAUCCAUUGCUGGAAGUCUCAGGCUGGUCUUCACCCUGUUGAGAGAAUCAAGAACCUACGUCCAAGAACUGUCCUUUGGAUCAACAGGACCAAACUGUUCCAGUUUGGAAUUUAUUUCUGCCUAAAAGUUGGAGGGGAAGAAAGGAGGAAAGAAGAUUGGAGUGCUCAGUUUGGAUUUUCAGCUCCGAAUUUAUCAAAACCUACACAGAAAGCCUUCAUGGUUCUUAGCCAUAUCCCCCUCAUAGCUGGUAAGAUUAACCCAAGCACAAUGAUGUCUAGCUUGGCCUCAGCAGAUAUGCUAUUUCAAGCUAAACAAACCAAGCACAUUUCACACAAGUCUUACUAUCUGUAAAUUCAUGGAGAGGCUCACCUCAAGUUCCUCAUUGUACACUUCAGCAUUUGAAAUUAGAUUCUUUAAGUUGGUAAUUUCAUGCAUUAGUUGAAUCUGUGGAGCAAAUUAAAGCAAAAUUGCAGAGGAUGUUAAAAGCACCCACGCCCGUAGCUUUAGCUGCCAACACCAUGAAAACAAGCCAGUCUAUCUUGUGUCUUCUUUUUUAUUAGUGUAUACUCACACAUCUGCUUAAACAGCUACAAAGCAAGAUGCUGCAUAUUCUUUCAAAGUGGAUAUGUGAGAUGCAAAGCUCUGUGUUUUAGCUCCCCAGUAAUUAGAAAGGAUUCAAGUACAAUUUAAUCUGCAAUAGUUUGAAAAGCAAGAGCAAUGUGAUCAAAGCAAUUAACGCAAAAAUUGUACAGAUACAACACUUCAAAUUCCAGUCAUGUUAAGCAGCUUUUUAUGACACAGUGCAGAUAUUUAUGAUUUAAUCUAUUCACUCACAGGAGUGAGAAGAUGCCAAAAUGGAACUUAAACAAGCCAUGAACACAUUCAGUGGCAUUCUCUGAAAGAAGCCACAAGUAGAAGUUCAGUUAGGAGCUUUUUCCAUUUCUUUCUAUUGGUCUUUGUUAGGAAAGUUUUACAAUAAGCACUCAUCUACAAGUACUUAUGUAUAGUCACAAGCAAAGGUGAGAAAAUUCAAUCUGCAAAUUUGAUAUUAGUGAAAAGCUUUAAAACAAGCACACUCCUGUGAGCAUUCCUAUGUUGUUUACCUGUAUAAACUGAUACAUUUAAUGUAUUUGGUAAUGUAUGUGACAUAUCAGUAUUGCUACAAGUAAUCUACUACAUGGGUAUCAAUAAAUGUUUACAUUUUAUGGACUGUCAUCAGAUAUCUGC